This 792-nucleotide ribosomal RNA is filed under the name uncultured bacterium. Its description in RNAcentral is "bacterial SSU rRNA". It matches the Rfam family "Bacterial small subunit ribosomal RNA", at positions 8 to 795 of the family's 1533-position model. The record is from RNAcentral.
AGAGUUUGAUCCUGGCUCAGGAUGAACGCUAGCGGCAGGCUUAAUACAUGCAAGUCGAGGGGCAGCGGGUCCUUUCGGGGAUGCCGGCGACCGGCGAACGGGUGAGUAACACGUAUGGAACCUACCUUUAACUGGGGAAUAGCCCCGAGAAAUCGGAGUUAAUACCCCAUAUAAUAAUGAAGGGACAUCCCUUUAUUAUGAAAGCUCCGGCGGUUAAAGAUGGCCAUGCGGUCCAUUAGCUUGUUGGUGAGAUAAAGGCUCACCAAGGCCACUAUGGAUAGCUGAUCUGAGAGGAUGAUCAGCCACAUUGGCACUGAGACACGGGCCAAACUCCUACGGGAGGCAGCAGUAGGGAAUCUUGGUCAAUAGGCGAAAGCCUGAACCAGCCAUGCCGCGUGCAGGAUGAAGGCCCUACGGGUCGUAAACUGCUUUUAUUCGGGAAGAAAAAGACUGUAUCCACAGUCCUUGACGGUACCGAAUGAAUAAGGACCGGCCAACUCCGUGCCAGCAGCCGCGGUAAUACGGAGGGUCCAAGCGUUAUCCGGAUUCACUGGGUUUAAAGGGUGCGCAGGCGGUCAGGUAAGUCAGUGGUGAAAGCCUUCGGCUCAACCGGAGAAUUGCCAUUGAAACUACUUGACUUGAGUGUAGUAGAGGUGGGCGGAAUGUAGCAUGUAGCGGUGAAUUGCAUAGAUAUGCUACAGAACACCGAUAGCGAAAGCAGCUCACCAUACUACGACUGACGCUGAGGCACGAAAGCAUGGGUAGCCAACAGGAUUAGAUACCCUGGUAGUC